GAUCCUGGCUCAGGAUGAACGCUAGCUACAGGCUUAACACAUGCAAGUCGAGGGGAAACGACAUCGAAAGCUUGCUUUUGAUGGGCGUCGACCGGCGCACUGGUGAGUAACGCGUAUCCAACCUGCCCACCACUUGGGGAUAACCUUGCGAAAGUAAGACUAAUACCCAAUGGUAUCUCUGGAAGACAUCUGAAAGGGAUUAAAGAUUUAUUGGUGAUGGAUGGGGAUGCGUCUGAUUAG
This 240-nucleotide ribosomal RNA is filed under the name uncultured bacterium. RNAcentral's name for it is "partial 16S ribosomal RNA". It matches the Rfam family "Bacterial small subunit ribosomal RNA", at positions 15 to 244 of the family's 1533-position model. The record is from RNAcentral.